RNAcentral lists this ribosomal RNA (465 nucleotides) under uncultured bacterium. RNAcentral's name for it is "partial 16S ribosomal RNA". It matches the Rfam family "Bacterial small subunit ribosomal RNA", at positions 28 to 507 of the family's 1533-position model. The record is from RNAcentral.
GACGAACGCUGGCGGCGUGCUUAACACAUGCAAGUCGAACGGAAAGGCCCUGCUUUUGUGGGGUGCUCGAGUGGCGAACGGGUGAGUAACACGUGAGUAACCUGCCCUUGACUUUGGGAUAACUUCAGGAAACUGGGGCUAAUACCGGAUAGGAGCUCCUGCUUGGUGGUGGUUGGAAAGAUUCGGCGGUUGGGGAUGGUCUCGCGGCUUAUCAGCUUGUUGGUGGGGUAGUGGCUUACCAAGGCUUUGACGGGUAGCCGGCCUGAGAGGGUGACCGGCCACAUUGGGACUGAGAUACGGCCCAGACUCCUACGGGAGGCAGCAGUGGGGAAUAUUGCACAAUGGGCGGAAGCCUGAUGCAGCAACGCCGCGUGCGGGAUGACGGCCUUCGGGUUGUAAACCGCUUUCGCCUGUGACGAAGCGUGAGUGACGGUAAUGGGUAAAGAAGCACCGGCUAACUACGUG